RNAcentral lists this unclassified non-coding RNA (373 nucleotides) under soil metagenome. RNAcentral's name for it is "partial contains 5.8S ribosomal RNA, internal transcribed spacer 2, and large subunit ribosomal RNA". The stretch from base 1 to 121 matches the Rfam family "5.8S ribosomal RNA", at positions 35 to 154 of the family's 154-position model. The record is from RNAcentral.
GAUGAAGAACGCAGCGAACGUGCGAAACGUAAUGUGAAUUGCAGAAUUCAGUGAAUCAUCGAAUCUUUGAACGCAUCUUGCGCUCCUUGAUAUUCCGAGGAGCAUGCCUGUUUGAGUGUCGUGAAAUACUCUCAAUUUCAAUCCUUUUUGUUGGGGGUUCGAAAUUGGAUUUGGGUGUUGUUGUGGCUCACAACUCAUCCUAAAUGCAUUAGCGAUCUGCCUUUGAUCACACACAAUGUGAUAAGAAAAAGCAUUGUUAGCAUCAAGUCAGGAUGGCUUCUAACCGUCCUUCACGGGACAAUCAUUUUAUGUCAUUUGACCUCAGAUCAGGCAGGACUACCCGCUGAACUUAAGCAUAUCAAUAAGCGGAGGA